UGGUGUGAAUUGCAGAAUCCCGUGAACCAUCGAGUCUUUGAACGCAAGUUGCGCCCGAAGCCUUUGGGUUGAAGGCACGUCUGCCUGGGCGUCACGC
This 97-nucleotide ribosomal RNA is filed under the name Thibaudia nutans. Its description in RNAcentral is "partial 5.8S ribosomal RNA". It matches the Rfam family "5.8S ribosomal RNA", at positions 63 to 154 of the family's 154-position model. From Rfam's summary of the family: 5.8S ribosomal RNA (5.8S rRNA) is a component of the large subunit of the eukaryotic ribosome. Lineage: Eukaryota; Viridiplantae; Streptophyta; Magnoliopsida; Ericales; Ericaceae. The record is from RNAcentral.